This is a long non-coding RNA of Magnolia sinica, 712 nucleotides long. RefSeq lists it as uncharacterized. NCBI's taxonomy places the organism in Eukaryota, Viridiplantae, Streptophyta, Magnoliopsida, Magnoliales, Magnoliaceae. The transcript has 5 exons. The record is from RefSeq and is a predicted model, not a curated record.
GGAUCUUCUUUUGGAGGGGCCUCUUUUUUCAACACCGAUUUCAUCUUCUUAUAUUUCACAAGAUUUAUAGAUGUAUGAAAUUGUUAUAGUUCUCUGAUUUCAAAUGAAAAUGAUGAUCUAUACGCUGAGCUUUGGCAUGCAUCACGGCGGGGCCCAACCUAAUGUGUAUAUUAAAAAUUUUCAAUUAUGGGAGGCAGAAGAAUUGACAUGUGCUUUAUGGGAGGCAGAAGAAUUGACAAAUAUCCAUUGUGUGGCAUCUGAAGGUAUGGGAUCAGAUUCAUCAAGCAAGUUAAUAUGUUGAUGUUGAUAUAAUAGACAGGAGGAUCCAAAAGAAGGACAUCUGAGCGAUGCAUAAGGUGGGAUUCACUAUGACAAUCACUUGCUGCAAAAAACAGGUGGCCUUCAUCUUAUGCAUAACCUGAUGUGUCAUACACAUGACGCGAACAUGGUUUCAUCUGAAGUUCACAUGCAACUGGUUGUAGGUGAUCAUUCCUACUAGUAUUGAAUUGAAUUGAUCGUAAUGAUGGUUGUCUUUGAAUAAUCCCAGAAAGUUCUGCGCAAGAACUUUCUCAGAUGUUUGUCCAAGAGCUGGCUUUGAAGGUUUUCAAGUGAGAUGAAUGAGUUUCAAAACAAAACAGUCUGCAGUUUUGAGAAGCGAUUCCCAGGAUGCAUGUGUGUUUCAGGGGCCAUCUACACCUUGGAAGCAUACAAU